GGCCUUUUGAUAUUAAUUUAAGGUCUAGCCUGCCCACUGAGGAGUUUAAAGGCCGCGGUAUUUUGACCGUGCUAAGGUAGCAUAAUCAUUAGUUUUUUAAAUGAAAGCUGGAAUGAAAGGUUGGAUAAGAAAAUAACUGUUUCUAUUGAAAUUUUAAUGAAUUUUAUUUUUAAAUUAAAAAGUUUAAAUAGUUUUAAAAGACGAGAAGACCCUAUAGAGUUUUAUAAAUUUUGGAUUUUAAUUUUUUAGGAUUAUUAUGUUGAAGUUUAAAGUUUAUUUGGUUGGGGUGAUUGGAAAAUUAAAUAAACUUUUAUUAUAAAAAUAACAUUAAUUUAUGAUAUAUUGAUCCAUAUUUAGUGAUUAUAAGAUUAAAUUACCUUAGGGAUAACAGCGUUAUUUUUUCUGAGAGUUCAAAUCGAAGAAAAAGUUUGCGACCUCGAUGUUGGAUUAAAAUUUAUUUUUGGUGCAGAAGUUAAAAUAUUGGGUCUGUUCGACCUUUGAAAUUUUACAUGA
This 513-nucleotide ribosomal RNA is filed under the name Lepturonota sp. IBE JGZ-3833. RNAcentral describes it as "partial large subunit ribosomal RNA". It matches the Rfam family "Bacterial large subunit ribosomal RNA", at positions 1819 to 2603 of the family's 2925-position model. Lineage: Eukaryota; Metazoa; Arthropoda; Insecta; Coleoptera; Cerambycidae. The record is from RNAcentral.